GUCGGUCUCACGCGUCAGCACAGCUGAGGAUCUUGGGAGACACAGAAGGACCCUUGCACCGAGGUGGCAUUCAUUUUUUUUUUUUUUUUUAAGAAGAACUUUCCUUCCACCUAACCCAAAGAACGGUGCAUCUCAACUGCUCUGUUUCCUUCUUGAGAUAACUGCCGUGAUUUUUCUUGCCCUGAAAUUUCUGAAGUUCACUUGGAGGAACUCUUUCGGAACGGUGGACUUUGGGGGGAGGGCUUGAAAAGAAAGAGCCCAACCUCCCGCCCCCGGACAAGGACUCUGCACGUGAAGCCGGAAAGGUCUAGACGUCUCCCGGCAAAUCUUGCCGAUGGGCGGAACCAGGCUGGACGCAAACCCCUCUGCACACUCUGAUGGUGCCUGCUCUGCAAUUUCUGUCCGGUCUUAAUAAGGAACAGUUCUUUCUAUCAGUGCGCCUGCCCGGAGGGUAUACGGUUCGACACAGGUUUCAUGCCGCAGGUCUUCUCACUUUUAGAAGGUCCACCUCAAGAUAAAGCACUUGAUUUCACCCUCGGGGUAAGCGUUGACUCCCACACAUUUAGAAUCUUCUUCUUGGCAGAUGGAGUUUCUCCUCUCGGAGGAGAGUAUUUGCAUUUUUUGGAUUAGGGGGAGAUUUUGACAAACCGGAAGUCCUUUGAAUCAUACAUAAUAAAGCAUGUUGGAAUGGUGUC
Molecule: long non-coding RNA, 695 nt
Organism: Herpailurus yagouaroundi (jaguarundi)
Lineage: Eukaryota; Metazoa; Chordata; Mammalia; Carnivora; Felidae
Exons: 2
Source: RefSeq, a predicted model, not a curated record